GACGUAGGGUGCGAGCGUUGUCCGGAUUUAUUGGGCGUAAAGAGCUCGUAGGCGGCUCGUCGCGUCGACCGUGAAAACCCGCGGCUUAACUGUGGGCUUGCGGUCGAUACGGGCAUCACUGGAGUUCGGCAGGGGAGACUGGAAUUCCUGGUGUAGCGGUGAAAUGCGCAGAUAUCAGGAGGAACACCGGUGGCGAAGGCGGGUCUCUGGGCCGAUACUGACGCUGAGGAGCGAAAGCGUGGGGAGCGAACAGG
RNAcentral lists this ribosomal RNA (254 nucleotides) under uncultured bacterium. Its description in RNAcentral is "partial 16S ribosomal RNA". It matches the Rfam family "Bacterial small subunit ribosomal RNA", at positions 524 to 776 of the family's 1533-position model. The record is from RNAcentral.